Molecule: ribosomal RNA, 384 nt
Filed under: marine copepod environmental sample
Lineage: Eukaryota; Metazoa; Arthropoda; Copepoda
Description: partial small subunit ribosomal RNA
Rfam family: Eukaryotic small subunit ribosomal RNA
Source: RNAcentral
AGCUCCAAUAGCGUAUAUUAAAGUUGUUGCGGUUAAAAAGCUCGUAGUUGGAUCUCGGCAGCCAGGGGGCGGUUCGCUCCAAAGCGUGACUGCCCCAUUUGGCUGUGUGAUUGGCGGAGGUUCCGGGGUGCUCUUCGUUGAGUGUCCCGGUGCGCCGUCAGGUUUACUUUGAAAAAAUUAGAGUGCUCAAAGCAGGCUUUUCAGGCUUGAAUAUUCGUGCAUGGAAUAAUGAAUUGGGAACUGGUUCUAAUUUUUUGGGUUUCCGGAAACGAGGUAAUGAUUAAUAGGGACAAUUGGGGGGAUUAGUAUUCCAACGACAGAGGUGAAAUUCUUGGACCGUUUGAAGACUAACUACUGCGAAAGCAUUUGCCAAGAGUGUUUUCA